UAAACUAGGAUUUAGAUACCCUAUUAUACUGCGGUUUUAACAAUAAAUAACCUUGAGUAGUAACAAUUAAUUAGUUUGAAAUUCAAAGAAUUUGGCGGUAUUCUAGUCUAGUUAGAGGAACCUGUUUUAUAAACGAUACUCCGCGUAAUAUCUUUCUUACUCUUGUUAAACCAGUAUACCGUCAUUAUUAGAUAAUUCUAUUUAUUAGAGGAAUUAUUGCAAUUGGCUCUUCAAAAAUCUUAGACCAUGGUGCUGUUAAUGAGUAAGUUUUAAUGGGUUACAAUAAAAAUUAAUUUAAUUACGGAAUCGUAAAUGAAACAAGACGAGGAAGGUGGAUUUAAUAGUAAUAAAAAAUUUAAUAUGGUUUUGUGAGAUUGGCUCUAGAAUGUGUACAUAUCGCCCGUCGCUUUCAUUUUAAGUGAGAUAAGUCGUAACAUAGUAGAUGUACUGGAAAGUGCAUA
RNAcentral lists this ribosomal RNA (461 nucleotides) under Scyllarus americanus. RNAcentral describes it as "partial 12S ribosomal RNA". The stretch from base 55 to 461 matches the Rfam family "Microsporidia small subunit ribosomal RNA", at positions 752 to 1301 of the family's 1311-position model. Lineage: Eukaryota; Metazoa; Arthropoda; Malacostraca; Decapoda; Scyllaridae. The record is from RNAcentral.